ACUGAUAUCUGUGUUGUUUUCACGUGUGCUGUGUGGAGAAAGUCAUGGAAGAUGCGUUAAAUAAGGCGUUACAAAGAAUUUCUGACCUAGAAAGUAUAGCUAGGACUCCUAGUAUAUCUCAAUUUGGAAGGGAAAGCGUUGCAAUGUCAACAAAUAGUAGUUCAACGGCUAAUGCAACUACAAGAACGAGCGUCCCAGAGGAAAUUUCUCGACGGUUUCCAAGCCUACGUAGGCCUCAAGCAUCCCCUGAAACAUCAGUGUCCCGCACAGGACGAAGAGAACAGCAUUUUUAACAGGCCGCCACUGGUAGAAAAAAGUCAAGCACCAGUGCUCGUAGAAACAAUAAAUAUUCAAAGCCUGUACUGAGAGACUUGGUUCUUAUCCCCAAUCCAGAAGAAGCUGUGCCCACGCGUUCCACAAGAGUUAUGUUGGAUAGUAAAGGCUUUGUGGUGCACAGCUUUCCUUUUCAACGUGAGUGGGAUACACAAUUACUAACACGUAAACUUGCGGAGGCAUUUCCAAAGUAUGCUGUUAUGCUUUGAGUACAUUAAAGCAUCUUAUGGCAAACUCAUCAAACCAAACCUUGCACCAGGAGUGGAAAUGACUGGUAACCUUUUGCUUAAACUUUCUGGUCAAGGAUCAGUCUACAUUCGUUCCUAUGAGUGCCUGGAUGAAGAUAGUGAUUAUGAGAGUGCUCUGGUGGAUUCACAGAAGGCUGAUAAGUCUAGUCCUACUCAUGGUGAGACUUUAGACAUCAUUGAGCAACAAACAUAGUUGACGAUGAUGCUCACCAGCAGAUUUCUGAGGUUGGCGGUCAGUCAAAUCUGUCAACCAAUUUAUCUGUUGAUGUUGCUUACAACAUUACUAUCUCUGAUGAAAUGGAUGCCAUUGUAAAUCCCGAGUAUGGCAACGAUUCCUUACCUCUUGAAACACAAGAUCGAGAACCAUUCCAGAAUGUUGAAUAUUCUGAUAUUCAGGGACCUUUAGAAAUUCAAG
Molecule: long non-coding RNA, 996 nt
Organism: Xenia sp. Carnegie-2017
Lineage: Eukaryota; Metazoa; Cnidaria; Anthozoa; Malacalcyonacea; Xeniidae
Exons: 3
Source: RefSeq, a predicted model, not a curated record